GGGCGGUUAGCUCAGCUGGUAGAGCGUCUCGCUUACACCGAGAAGGCCGGCGGUUCGAGCCCGUCACCGCCCACCA
This 76-nucleotide transfer RNA is filed under the name Alphaproteobacteria bacterium. RNAcentral's name for it is "tRNA-Val". It matches the Rfam family "tRNA". Rfam says of the family: Transfer RNA (tRNA) molecules are approximately 80 nucleotides in length. Their secondary structure includes four short double-helical elements and three loops (D, anti-codon, and T loops). RNAcentral also lists the same sequence under 1 other name. Lineage: Bacteria; Pseudomonadati; Pseudomonadota; Alphaproteobacteria. The record is from RNAcentral.